GCGCGAAAACUUUACAAUGCUGGCAACAGCGAUAAGGGAACCUCGAGUGCCAGGUUACAAAUCUGGCUGUCGAGAUGCCUAAAAAGCAUUUCAUAGCAAGGGCCGGGCAAGACCGGUGCCAGCCGCCGCGGUAACACCGGCGGCCCGAGUGGUAACCGCUAUUAUUGGGUCUAAAGGGUCUGUAGCCGGCCGGAUAAGUCUCUUGAGAAAUCUGGCAGCUUAACUGUCAGGCUUUCAGGAGAUACUGUCUGGCUCGAGGCCGGGAGCGGUGAGAGGUACUUCAGGGGUAGGGGUGAAAUCUUGUAAUCCUUGAAGGACCACCAGUGGCGAAGGCGUCUCACCAGAACGGACCUGACGGCAAGGGACGAAAGCUAGGGGCACGAACCG
This 387-nucleotide ribosomal RNA is filed under the name uncultured bacterium. RNAcentral's name for it is "bacterial SSU rRNA". It matches the Rfam family "Archaeal small subunit ribosomal RNA", at positions 339 to 726 of the family's 1478-position model. The record is from RNAcentral.